This 385-nucleotide transfer-messenger RNA is filed under the name Microvirga aerilata. It matches the Rfam family "Alphaproteobacteria transfer-messenger RNA". Rfam says of the family: Bacterial tmRNA, also known as 10Sa RNA or SsrA, is named for its dual tRNA and mRNA-like properties. Lineage: Bacteria; Pseudomonadati; Pseudomonadota; Alphaproteobacteria; Hyphomicrobiales; Methylobacteriaceae. The record is from RNAcentral.
AGGCUGGAUAUUGCGCCUCCGACACUCUAUAUAGAGGAGGUCAGGUUCGCCUGACUAUGAUCGUAGAGGCAGAGUGUAAUAGGCGUUUAGGACGCGGGUUCGAUUCCCGCCGCCUCCACCACGAACGCAUCGGCCGUCCGGGUAUCUCGGAACGGCUUUGGGCAACCGGUUUAUCGUUGAGGCUGUGUUGCUGUUCCGGUGUGUUUUUGAUGGGGGCGAUCUGGGUUCGACUGGGCGCAAUAAAGGCUAGGCUGCGAUUAGGCUGAGCUACGGCCUCAACAGUGCAAACUCAUAAAUGCCAACGACAACGUUGACAUGGGUGCGGUGCGCCUCGCGGCGUAACCAUCCGGGGCUCGGGAAAGCCUAGCAACAGAAACGGCACCUU